Molecule: non-coding RNA, 258 nt
Organism: Lepisosteus oculatus (spotted gar)
Lineage: Eukaryota; Metazoa; Chordata; Actinopteri; Semionotiformes; Lepisosteidae
Source: RefSeq, a predicted model, not a curated record
CUGCAGCAUCAAUCUGUACUCUGCAACAUCUGGGAGGAGACUCCUGGACACCUCCAUCACCUACCACACGGACCCCAGUGGUGGGCGGCCAGAGAGACUCUAUGUACACGCGUUCCUGAAGAAAGAUGACUCUGUUGGCUACCGGGUCUUGGUACAGACUGAGGAUCAUGCCCUGACCUUCAUUCAGCAGCCAGGGAGGGUGCUGUGGUCCAGGGAAGAGGCUCUGGCAGAGGUCGUUACCAUGGAGAUGGUGGAUCU